RNAcentral lists this ribosomal RNA (254 nucleotides) under uncultured bacterium. RNAcentral's name for it is "partial 16S ribosomal RNA". It matches the Rfam family "Bacterial small subunit ribosomal RNA", at positions 524 to 776 of the family's 1533-position model. The record is from RNAcentral.
UACGUAGGGUGCAAGCGUUAAUCGGAAUUACUGGGCGUAAAGCGUGCGCAGGCGGUUGUGCAAGACAGAUGUGAAAUCCCCGGGCUCAACCUGGGAAUUGCAUUUGUGACUGUACGGCUAGAGUGUGUCAGAGGGGGGGUAGAAUUCCACGUGUAGCAGUGAAAUGCGUAGAGAUGUGGAGGAAUACCGAUGGCGAAGGCAGCCCCCUGGGAUAACACUGACGCUCAUGCACGAAAGCGUGGGGAGCAAACAGG